This 263-nucleotide ribosomal RNA is filed under the name Mycobacterium tuberculosis. RNAcentral's name for it is "partial 23S ribosomal RNA". It matches the Rfam family "Bacterial large subunit ribosomal RNA", at positions 1010 to 1271 of the family's 2925-position model. Lineage: Bacteria; Bacillati; Actinomycetota; Actinomycetes; Mycobacteriales; Mycobacteriaceae. The record is from RNAcentral.
GUCAAGAGGGAAACAACCCAGACCGCCAGCUAAGGCCCCAAAUUCCUAGUUAAGUGGGAAACGAUGUGGGAAGGCACAGACAGCUAGGAGGUUGGCUUAGAAGCAGCCACCCUUUAAAGAAAGCGUAAUAGCUCACUAGUCGAGUCGGCCUGCGCGGAAGAUGUAACGGGGCUCAAACUAGGAGCCGAAGCUGCGGAUUUAAUUGUUUCAAUUAAGUGGUAGGGGAGCAUUGUGUAAGCCUGUGAAGGUGUGUUGUAAAGCAU